CCCUUAGAUGUUCUGGGCCGCACGCGCGCUACACUGUUCGACGCAGCGAGUCUUAACCUUGACCGAAAGGUUUGAGUAAUCUUCAGCAAAGUCGAACGUGAUGGGGAUCGAUCAUUGCAAUUAUUGAUCGUGAACGAGGAAUUCCUAGUAAGUGCAAGUCAUCAGCUUGCGCUGAUUACGUCCCUGCCCUUUGUACACACCGCCCGUCGCUACUACCGAUUGAAUGGUUUAGUGAGAUCUCUGGAUUGACGCUGGCUAGGGGGCGACCCUUGGCCAGACUGUUGAGAAACUGCUCAAACUUGAUCAUUUAGAGGAAGUAAAAGUCGUAACA
This 331-nucleotide ribosomal RNA is filed under the name uncultured eukaryote. RNAcentral describes it as "partial 18S ribosomal RNA". It matches the Rfam family "Eukaryotic small subunit ribosomal RNA", at positions 1470 to 1796 of the family's 1831-position model. The record is from RNAcentral.